UGGGGAAUAUUGGACAAUGGGCGCAAGCCUGAUCCAGCAAUGCCGCGUGAGUGAUGAAGGCCUUAGGGUUGUAAAGCUCUUUCGCACGCGACGAUGAUGACGGUAGCGUGAGAAGAAGCCCCGGCUAACUUCGUGCCAGCAGCCGCGGUAAUACGAAGGGGGCUAGCGUUGUUCGGAAUUACUGGGCGUAAAGGGCGCGUAGGCGGCCUGUUUAGUCAGAAGUGAAAGCCCCGGGCUCAACCUGGGAAUAGCUUUUGAUACUGGCAGGCUUGAGUUCCGGAGAGGAUGGUGGAAUUCCCAGUGUAGAGGUGAAAUUCGUAGAUAUUGGGAAGAACACCGGUGGCGAAGGCGGCCAUCUGGACGGACACUGACGCUGAGGCGCGAAAGCGUGGGGAGCAAACAGGAUUAGAUACCCUGGUAGUCCACGCCCGUAAACGAUGAAUGCUAGACGUCGGGGUGCAUGCACUUCGGUGUCGCCGCUAACGCAUUAAGCAUUCCGCCUGGGGGAGUACGGCCGCAAGGUU
RNAcentral lists this ribosomal RNA (524 nucleotides) under uncultured bacterium. Its description in RNAcentral is "partial 16S ribosomal RNA". It matches the Rfam family "Bacterial small subunit ribosomal RNA", at positions 355 to 895 of the family's 1533-position model. The record is from RNAcentral.